GAUGAACGCUGGCGGCGUGCUUAACACAUGCAAGUCGAACGAAGCACUUUAUUAUGAUUUCUUCGGAAUGACGAUUUAGUGACUGAGUGGCGGACGGGUGAGUAAUGCAUGAGCAACCUGCCCUGCAGUGGGGGACAACAGUUGGAAACGACUGCUAAUACCGCAUGAUGUAUCUGGAAGGCAUCUUCCGGAUACCAAAGAUUUAUCGCUGUGGGAUGGGCUCAUGUCUGAUUAGUUAGUUGGUGGGGUAACGGCCUACCAAGACUGCGAUCAAUAGCCGACCUGAGAGGGUGACCGGCCACAUUGGGACUGAGACACGGCCCAGACUCCUACGGGAGGCAGCAGUGGGGAAUAUUGGGCAAUGGGCGCAAGCCUGACCCAGCAAACGCCGCGUGAAGGAAGAAAGGCUUUCGGGUUGUAAACUCUUUUGUCUAGGGACGAGGAGAAGACGGUACCUGACGAAUAAGCCACGG
RNAcentral lists this ribosomal RNA (473 nucleotides) under uncultured bacterium. Its description in RNAcentral is "bacterial SSU rRNA". It matches the Rfam family "Bacterial small subunit ribosomal RNA", at positions 28 to 496 of the family's 1533-position model. The record is from RNAcentral.